GGUUUUACUAUUGUAUGUUGCUUUGUGAUUGUUGAUAUCAUUGCAAGUUUUUCUAUGAUGCUACCUGUGACUAUGUUAUAGUUUAUAUGUGACCACCACAUAAGCAUGCAUUAUAUUGUUUGUUUUGCCAGAACAAAAAGUUGAAUACUAUAAAAGGAUGUGAGAAGAUUUGAAGAAGAAAGAAAGGAAAAGACAUGGGAAGACAGAGGAUAUAGACUACAAUUAUACCUGUGACUAUGUUAUAAUUAUAGAGUACAUGUUACAUUGGAUGAAAACUUGUAAUCGUUUUAUUAUGUAAUUCAAAAUGUGUUGCAUAGUGCAUAGUUCAUUUUCAUUAUGCAAGACAGGGGAAAUUUUAUAGAGUAUGUAAUUCAAAUUGGUUAUUAAAACUUGUCUCUAAUAUGUUAAUUCAAAUAUGAAUGAAGUCUAAGCAAAGAAAAUUUUUGUAGAUUAAAAAAAUUAUAGUCUAAACAAUU
RNAcentral lists this long non-coding RNA (476 nucleotides) under Medicago truncatula (barrel medic). RNAcentral describes it as "long non-coding RNA (MTRU_LNC007337)". Lineage: Eukaryota; Viridiplantae; Streptophyta; Magnoliopsida; Fabales; Fabaceae. The record is from RNAcentral.